Long non-coding RNA from Xenopus tropicalis (tropical clawed frog), 882 nucleotides. RefSeq lists it as uncharacterized. The record is from RefSeq and is a predicted model, not a curated record. NCBI's taxonomy places the organism in Eukaryota, Metazoa, Chordata, Amphibia, Anura, Pipidae. The transcript has 4 exons.
GCUACAGGUAGAACCAUGAAAGCAAAAAUCUUAUUGGCCACCGUGGAUUACUGCCCCAGUGCAGAGUGUUGGUAGUUGGUCGGAGCGCCCACUCGCUCUCUGUUGGAGAUUUCAGGCUGGCAGGUGUUAGUGCCAGAUUCCUGUCAUAUCUCCUAUUUGUUGUUAUAUGAACCCAACCCUCGACCUUAAAGUAGAACUGCAACACCCAAAUGUAUAUGUUUGUGCCCAUAAAUAAGUGGAGACAGCAGAGCUUGGGGGCAGGGUUGAUGCUUGUUAUCUUUUGCAGUGUCCUUUCUUUUAUACCCCUCAUUGCUCUGAUUGCAGGACUAUGUAUAGUGAAGCCUUCCUGCAUCUUGGCUUUAGUCUGCAUGUUCUAGAAGGGCAAUGAGAGAUGUGGAAGGUCUGAGAGGCUUUAACGGAGGCACAAAGUGGUGACCAACUGCCCCACUGAGCACUUGUGACAUUCAGAUCUCCGUGUCAGGGAUUCCUGGAGUCUCCUGAUUAAAAAAAGUAAUUAUUACGGGAGUUUAUUUCUGUGAGACAAGAGACGUUGUUGCUGCCAUGGAACCAAACAGGACUGUCCUGCCUGUUACUGGGAUGUGAGACUUCAGUCAUGUGACCUUUAUGUGUUACAAUGGGUGCUACCACCUCGGGCACAGACGGGGGAGCACCCUGGUGACCCAGGCAAUCCCGGCAUGAGGAAACCAAUCCUGAAGGGCCCAUCACUGUUGGGGUCUGAAGUGCCUACCCUACCUGCCAGCUGACUGUGCUCCCAGCUUUCCUGGUUCCCUAGAAUAAACCUGAGAUUCUACUGUGAAAGUCACAAACAACCACAAGGUGGUGCUAGAGGGCUACCUACUGUCAGAGAAAUGCUUCACUACC